UAGCUCCGGGAAACUGGAAUUAAUACCGUAUACGCCCUACGGGGGAAAGAUUUAUCGGGGUAUGAUGAGCCCGCGUUGGAUUAGCUAGUUGGUGGGGUAAAGGCCUACCAAGGCGACGAUCCAUAGCUGGUCUGAGAGGAUGAUCAGCCACAUUGGGACUGAGACACGGCCCAAACUCCUACGGGAGGCAGCAGUGGGGAAUAUUGGACAAUGGGCGCAAGCCUGAUCCAGCCAUGCCGCGUGAGUGAUGAAGGUCUUAGGAUUGUAAAGCUCUUUCACCGAUGAAGAUAAUGACGGUAGUCGGAGAAGAAGCCCCGGCUAACUUCGUGCCAGCAGCCGCGGUAAUACGAAGGGGGCUAGCGUUGUUCGGAAUUACUGGGCGUAAAGCGCAUGUAGGCGGAUAUUUAAGUCAGGGGUGAAAUCCCGCAGCUCAACUGCGGAACUGCCUUUGAUACUGGGUAUCUUGAGUAUGGAAGAGGUGAGUGGAAUUCCGAGUGUAGAGGUGAAAUUCGUAGAUAUUCGGAGGAAC
RNAcentral lists this ribosomal RNA (529 nucleotides) under Rhizobium sp. CPS_1. RNAcentral's name for it is "bacterial SSU rRNA". It matches the Rfam family "Bacterial small subunit ribosomal RNA", at positions 144 to 707 of the family's 1533-position model. Lineage: Bacteria; Pseudomonadati; Pseudomonadota; Alphaproteobacteria; Hyphomicrobiales; Rhizobiaceae. RNAcentral also lists the same sequence under 7 other names. The record is from RNAcentral.